UAUUGCUUAUAUAUUUCUGAAAAAUUAUAAACUUUCUUCUUUACCCAUCUUAAAAAGCUAAUAUAAAAAAAAUACACUUUAACAUUUCAAGUUCUUUUAAAUAUAUACCUAAAGUUAAUUCUAUUAAUGAACUAUUAGCAACCGUCACUAUUUUUGUGAAAUUACUAUUUUACCCUUUCAAAUAUACUCUUCUACUGUCACCAACUUUUUUUUUAUUUAUUCUUAAAUUAGGGGUGAAAGAAGUAUUUUAACUUUUUGCCCUUUCAAAUAUUCCUUUCCGCUAUCACAAACUUUUCUUAUUUGCCGUUUAUGUUUGGGGCAAAAGAGGUAGUCUCACUCUUUUUUAAUUCUGGUAGAAAUUUAACUUAGGUUUAACGCAAGAUGACCUAACGGGUACUAACAGAAGGGCUAUUUUUGAUUAGCGGAGAAAUGCACGAGUGGUAUAUUUGAAACAAAGAAAAAAGUAAAGGUAUAUAAGAUAUUUUAGAAGUUUUGAGGGGUAUAUAGGUAAUUAU
Molecule: long non-coding RNA, 515 nt
Filed under: Ananas comosus (pineapple)
Lineage: Eukaryota; Viridiplantae; Streptophyta; Magnoliopsida; Poales; Bromeliaceae
Description: long non-coding RNA (ACOM_LNC031813)
Source: RNAcentral